This 254-nucleotide long non-coding RNA is filed under the name Elaeis guineensis (African oil palm). RNAcentral's name for it is "long non-coding RNA (EGUI_LNC020459)". The record is from RNAcentral. Lineage: Eukaryota; Viridiplantae; Streptophyta; Magnoliopsida; Arecales; Arecaceae.
UGUGUAUACUCUACUCCUACAGUGGACCAACUGUCAUCAACAUCUACUACAAAGACUCAUUGCAUCAAUGUUUAUGUGUUGUCAAACUCCAGCAGCCACACUGCGAGCAGCUAUAGCACCGCAGGUCAAAAGACCAGUCAUACAACUGCAGCAUCGAGAAAGUCACUAACGAGUGAGCAAACAUCCAUGUGACUUCUGAUGUUGGUCAUGCUCAGUGCUAGUUGUUCUCUAACAACCACCUGCACUCUCGCUCC